CAGCCGCCGCGGGAAUACGGAGGGUGCAAGCGUUAAUUGGAAUUACUGGGCGUAAAGCGCACGCAGGCGGUCUGACAAGUCAGAUGUGAAAUCCCCGGGCUUAACCUGGGAACUGCAUUUGAAACUGUCAGGCUGGAGUCUUGUAGAGGGGGGUAGAAUUCCAGGUGUAGCGGUGAAAUGCGUAGAGAUCUGGAGGAAUACCGGUGGCGAAGGCGGCCCCCUGGACAAAGACUGACGCUCAGGUGCGAAAGCGUGGGGAGCAAACAGGAUUAGAUACCCGAGUAGUCCCUGUCUCUUAUAC
RNAcentral lists this ribosomal RNA (301 nucleotides) under uncultured bacterium. RNAcentral describes it as "partial 16S ribosomal RNA". It matches the Rfam family "Bacterial small subunit ribosomal RNA", at positions 509 to 807 of the family's 1533-position model. The record is from RNAcentral.